AGCGAACGCUGGCGGCAGGCCUAACACAUGCAAGUCGAACGAACCUUUCGGGGUUAGUGGCGGACGGGUGAGUAACACGUGGGAACGUGCCUUUAGGUUCGGAAUAACUCAGGGAAACUUGUGCUAAUACCGAAUGUGCCCUUCGGGGGAAAGAUUAAUCGCCUUUAGAGCGGCCCGCGUCUGAUUAGCUAGUUGGUUGAGGUAAUGGCUCACCAAGGCGACGAUCAGUAGCUGGUCUGAGAGGAUGAUCAGCCACAUUGGGACUGAGACACGGCCCAAACUCCUACGGGAGGCAGCAGUGGGGAAUCGUGCGCAAUGGGCGAAAGCCUGACGCAGCCAUGCCGCGUGAAUGAUGAAGGUCUUAGGAUUGUAAAAUUCUUUCAACGGGGACGAUAAUGACGGUACCCGGAGAAGAAGCCCCGGCUAACUUCGUG
RNAcentral lists this ribosomal RNA (434 nucleotides) under uncultured bacterium. RNAcentral's name for it is "partial 16S ribosomal RNA". It matches the Rfam family "Bacterial small subunit ribosomal RNA", at positions 29 to 507 of the family's 1533-position model. The record is from RNAcentral.